Molecule: ribosomal RNA, 498 nt
Filed under: uncultured bacterium
Lineage: Bacteria
Description: partial 16S ribosomal RNA
Rfam family: Bacterial small subunit ribosomal RNA
Source: RNAcentral
GAUGAACGCUGGCGGCGUGCCUAAUACAUGCAAGUCGAGCGAACGGACGAGAAGCUUGCUUCUCUGAUGUUAGCGGCGGACGGGUGAGUAACACGUGGAUAACCUACCUAUAAGACUGGGAUAACUUCGGGAAACCGGAGCUAAUACCGGAUGAUAUUUUUGAACCGCAUGGUUCAAAAGUUAAAUACGGUCUUGCUUUCACUUAUAUAUGUAUCCGCGCUGCAUUAGCUAGUUGGUAAGGUAACGGCUUACCAAGGCAACGAUGCAUAGCCGACCUGAGAGGGUGAUCGGCCACACUGGAACUGAGACACGGUACAGACUCCUACGGGAGGCAGCAGUAGGGAAUCUUCCGCAAAGGGCGAAAGCCUGACGGAGCAACGCCGCGUGAGUGAUGAAGGUCUUCGGAUCGUAAAACUCUGUUAUUAGGGAAGAACAUAUGUGUAAGUAACUGUGCACAUCUUGACGGUAACUAAUCAGAAAGCCACGGCUAACUACGUG